Myotis brandtii (Brandt's bat) is the source of this 115-nucleotide non-coding RNA. NCBI's taxonomy places the organism in Eukaryota, Metazoa, Chordata, Mammalia, Chiroptera, Vespertilionidae. The record is from Rfam.
CAUGCACCAGUGGGGUCCCUCAGCCUGGCCUGUGCCCUCUCACAAUCUGGAAUGUCAGACUGCCGGUUUCGGCCUGAUCCCUGCAGGCCAGGCUGAGGGACCCCACGGGUGCACA